AUGUUGCAGACCAAGCUCAUCGUCGCCCUCCAUCACAGUGCCGUGGGUGGUCACUCCGGUGCCACGGCCACCUACCACCGCGUCCGCAAGCUGUUCGCCUGGCCCGGGCUGAAGCGUGUCGUGGAAGAUUUUGUCCGGCAGUGCGCCGUGUGCCAACACGCCAAGCACGAGCACACGCACCCUGCCGGCAAGCUCCAACCCCUUCCAAUCCCCACGGAACCAUGGCAGGAGCUGACCAUGGAUUUCGUGGAGGGGCUGCCGAAAUCUGAGGCCUCCGAUGCAAUCAUGGUUGUCGUCGACCGGCUUACCAAGUACGCCCACUUCAUGCCGCUUCGUCAUCCCUUCACUGCCGUCCAAGUUGCUCGCGCCUUCUGGGAGAACAUCAUCAAGCUUCACGAUGUUCCUCAUUCGAUCGUCUCCGACCGCGACAAGAUCUUCACGGGUGCCAUGUGGCGCGAAUUGCUCGCCGCCGCAGGAACCAAACUACUCUACUCCACCGCGUACCACCCACAGACGGACGGCCAAACCGAGCGCGUCAAUCAGUGCUUGGAGAUGUACCUGCGAUGUGCGGUCCACGACACACUGCGGCAAUGGCGCAAGUGGCUACCGGCGGCGGAGUUCUGGUACAAUUCUGCACAUCACACCUCCCUGAAUUGCUCUCCCUUCAAGGCAUUGUACGACAGAGAGCCCAACCUGGGGGGUUUACCACACCUGAGCGCCGCGCUACCCAGUGACGCGGCGUCAGGCGAUCUGGACUAG
Molecule: ribosomal RNA, 759 nt
Filed under: Triticum aestivum (bread wheat)
Lineage: Eukaryota; Viridiplantae; Streptophyta; Magnoliopsida; Poales; Poaceae
Description: partial small subunit ribosomal RNA
Source: RNAcentral